Molecule: ribosomal RNA, 1364 nt
Filed under: Klebsiella pneumoniae
Lineage: Bacteria; Pseudomonadati; Pseudomonadota; Gammaproteobacteria; Enterobacterales; Enterobacteriaceae
Description: partial 23S ribosomal RNA
Rfam family: Bacterial large subunit ribosomal RNA
Source: RNAcentral
UGUGAACUCGAAGAGUAGGGCGGGACACGUGGUAUCCUGUCUGAAUAUGGGGGGACCAUCCUCCAAGGCUAAAUACUCCUGACUGACCGAUAGUGAACCAGUACCGUGAGGGAAAGGCGAAAAGAACCCCGGCGAGGGGAGUGAAAAAGAACCUGAAACCGUGUACGUACAAGCAGUGGGAGCACCUUCGGGUGUGACUGCGUACCUUUUGUAUAAUGGGUCAGCGACUUAUAUUCUGUAGCAAGGUUAACCGUAUAGGGGAGCCGCAGGGAAACCGAGUCUUAACUGGGCGUUAAGUUGCAGGGUAUAGACCCGAAACCCGGUGAUCUAGCCAUGGGCAGGUUGAAGGUUGGGUAACACUAACUGGAGGACCGAACCGACUAAUGUUGAAAAAUUAGCGGAUGACUUGUGGCUGGGGGUGAAAGGCCAAUCAAACCGGGAGAUAGCUGGUUCUCCCCGAAAGCUAUUUAGGUAGCGCCUCGUGAAUUCAUCUUCGGGGGUAGAGCACUGUUUCGGCUAGGGGGUCAUCCCGACUUACCAACCCGAUGCAAACUACGAAUACCGAAGAAUGUUAUCACGGGAGACACACGGCGGGUGCUAACGUCCGUCGUGAAGAGGGAAACAACCCAGACCGCCAGCUAAGGUCCCAAAGUCAUGGUUAAGUGGGAAACGAUGUGGGAAGGCACAGACAGCCAGGAUGUUGGCUUAGAAGCAGCCAUCAUUUAAAGAAAGCGUAAUAGCUCACUGGUCGAGUCGGCCUGCGCGGAAGAUGUAACGGGGCUAAACCAUGCACCGAAGCUGCGGCAGCGACACUAUGUGUUGUUGGGUAGGGGAGCGUUCUGUAAGCCUGCGAAGGUGGCCUGUGAGGGUUGCUGGAGGUAUCAGAAGUGCGAAUGCUGACAUAAGUAACGAUAAAGCGGGUGAAAAGCCCGCUCGCCGGAAGACCAAGGGUUCCUGUCCAACGUUAAUCGGGGCAGGGUGAGUCGACCCCUAAGGCGAGGCCGAAAGGCGUAGUCGAUGGGAAACAGGUUAAUAUUCCUGUACUUGGUGUUACUGCGAAGGGGGGACGGAGAAGGCUAUGUUAGCCGGGCGACGGUUGUCCCGGUUUAAGCAUGUAGGCUGGUUGUCCAGGCAAAUCCGGAUAAUCAAGGCUGAGGUGUGAUGACGAGGCACUACGGUGCUGAAGUAACAAAUGCCCUGCUUCCAGGAAAAGCCUCUAAGCAUCAGGUAACAUUAAAUCGUACCCCAAACCGACACAGGUGGUCAGGUAGAGAAUACCAAGGCGCUUGAGAGAACUCGGGUGAAGGAACUAGGCAAAAUGGUGCCGUAACUUCGGGAGAAGGCACGCUGGUGUGUAGGUGAAG